AUUUAACGCUGGCGGCAUGCCUAACACAUGCAAGUCGCACGAGUGGCGGACGGGUGAGUAAUGUCUGGGAAACUGCCCGAUGGAGGGGGAUAACUACUGGAAACGGUAGCUAAUACCGCAUACUAUCGGAUGUGCCCCGAUGGGAUUAGUUGGUAGGUGGGGUAAUGGCUCACCUAGUCGACGAUCCCUAGCUGGUCUGAGAGGAUGACCAGCCACACUGGAACUGAGACACGGUCCAGACUCCCACGGGAGGCAGAGGUGGGGAAUAUGGCACAAGGGGCGCAAGCCUGAGGCAGCCAUGGCGCGUGUAUGAAGAAGGCCUUCGGGUUGUAAAGUACUUUCAGCGAGGAGGCGUUACUCGCAGAAGAAGCACCGGCUAACUCCGUGCCAGCAGCCGCGGUAAUUC
Molecule: ribosomal RNA, 406 nt
Filed under: uncultured bacterium
Lineage: Bacteria
Description: partial 16S ribosomal RNA
Rfam family: Bacterial small subunit ribosomal RNA
Source: RNAcentral